CGCAAUAAUAAUAAUGUUCAAUAAUGAUACCACUAUCGGCGCCGGAGCCGUCGUCCCGACUCCAUCUGCUACAGUUCCAUCCACCAUCUUCCCCGGCACAACCAUCACUUCCAACUCCACCUUCAUCAUCAUCGGACCUCCUCCACCGUUCCCAGCACCUCCUCGGAGCAUCGACUUCACUCCUAUCAAACUAAUAUUCGCCGUCAUAGCAAUCGUCGCCGUUCCCGCCUUAGUUUACUCUCUUUUCUUCACCGCCCCAUGUUCUUCCCGCCGCCGCAACUCCUCUUCCUCCUCCCGCCGUAGCAGCAGCUCUUCCUCCGACGACCCACCUCAUGCAACCGUGGAUAUCGCACCGGCCGAGAAAGACGCCGCCACCGUCGUCGCGCCUGAUGUCGGAAAGAAGUUCAAGAAAGAGACUCAUUCUGAGGAGAUCGGUAACGAAUGCACCGUGUGUAAGUCGGUGCUCGCCGACGGCGAAGAGAUCCGACAACUAAGCGCGUGUAAGCACGAGUUCCACGUGUCUUGUAUCGAGGAGUGGCUCCAAACUCGUUCCAAUUGUCCUAAUUGCAGAGCAGACGUCCCCGUUAAACCGACUGAAGCCGACGCUAACGUUAACGGUAACGUUAACGUGAAUCGCAGCGGUGGCGGAAACCGCCGAGUUUCAGCGACCAAUAGAGAUGACGAUUGGCGUCAAGGUCUACCUGAUGCUUCUAGUCUAGUUUGAUUCAUUUUUUAUAUUGUAAUUUGUUUUUUUCGAUUUCAUGAUUUUUUUUUUUUUGGUAUAAUGAUUUUAUAUUUAUUGUGGCUGUAAACAAAUUUACGUUAAAUCUAAAAAAUAUGAGUUCGUUAAUUUAAUUAUUUUUGGUUGCUUCGUAACUCCGUAAGCAACAGUGUGUCUAAGAUGUGACGUUGACUCUCGACAACUCACAGAAACGCACUACAGCAUGCUCAUCCUACGGCGUGUGAAGAUCCCAUGACAAUCGUGCGGUUCAUAUUCUUCCACGAAAAACAAUCGAACUUUCGUCUUAUUCCCGGCGAUUUAAGCGCUAGGCGUUAUCCUUUAGUCCUCGUGGGAUUAACUUUAACACUAACCUACCGGAAACCUCGGCCGGGCCUGACAAUUUCGGGUUCAGAACCAAAAUUUUUUUUUGAUCCAUGAUCUAAAUAAACAUAAAAAUAUUAAAAGGUGUUUUCAUGUAAUUUGAACUCGUAACCUCCUGCUUUAAUAUACUUAGCUUUUACCACCAAAAUUAGAGAGAAACUUCGCUUAUACUAGUCCCCUAAAGUAAAUAUUUUCUUAUCGACCCCAAAGUCAAUGCUUGAUUUGUUUGGUAUCAGGCACGACCCUGCCGGAAACCAUCCGGUGCUUCCUCUGGUUUAAUACUAACUAUGUUUAAUGUCAAGUGGCGGGUGGCGCUUAGAGUUUUAUGUUUUUAAACAUGCGUGGCCAUGUGACAUUGGUCUGUAAUUUCUAUUGCGAACGAUUGAGUUUAUUUCACGCCGAAAAACAAUUAUUUUAUAGGAUUUGGUCCACAGAAUAUCUUCGAAUUAUUAAAAAAAAAAUCAUAUGAACUUUCUUCCAGAUCCAUUGUGCUUAUACUUAGGAGUAUCUAUGAAAUUAUAGAAACCUUCACCGAAAUCAUAUACAAUAAAACCUCUAUAAAUUAAUAAUGUUGGGACACUAAAAUUUUAUUAAUUUAUAGAGAUAUUAAUUUAUAAAAGUUUCCUUUUUUAGGAUUUUUAAGAUUUUUUUCUAUUUUAAUUAUUUUUUAUUAAUAAAAUAUUUGAUUUUACCGUAUAUAAAUUAUUUAAAUUUUAUAAAAUUGACUUUCAUAUUAUUUUAUUAUCUUAUUUGGUGUAUAUUGUUAUGUUCCAUAGAAUUGUUAUGUGGUUUUCAAUAUAAUUUUACUAAAUAUUAUAAAAAUAUUAAGAAAAAUAAAAGUAUUUUCAUUGUAAAUAUAAAACCAACAAUAUAAUGUUUAGUUUAUACUUAUAUAAAUUAUAUAUAGAGAUAUAUUAUUAAUUUAUGAUUUUAAUGGGACUAUAUAUUUAGAUGGAGGUUUUAAAAAUAUUAUCUCUUUUUUAUUAUUUGAGGUGCAUUUUUAUAAAUAAACUUCACCCUCAUGUAUGAUUAACAACUUUGUCAUUUCUUAGGUGUCAACACCACAAUGCACCUCACAUCCUUUAUUGAAUAAACCUUUAUUGACUAGAUUAAUUACAUGUCAUGCCAUUGCCAAAUAAACCUACAAAGUCAUUAUAUUAUAUGUAACAUUUCAAAUAUAUGGUAAAGACGUUAUGGAUAGUAUAAUUUCGGAGAUUUGAUUAGCCUUCUUACCUUAUUUCAUUCAUUUUAUCACAGCAUUUUUGAUAUUGUGAGAAGUACUAUACAGUUGUAUCUCAUUAAUUUUUACCAAGACAAACCUACUUUCGAAGAACUAAAACUGAUAUGAUAAUAAUUUUUUAAUAAAAAUUUAAUACUUUCAACCAUACGUAAGUGUGUGUAAUUUUAGCUAUAGGUUUGAAAAAAAUAUUUAGAACAACUCCAAUGACAUCAAAUAAUUUUUUGGUGUAAUAUUUUAUUUUUAUAUUGUUUGUUAAAUAUGUAAUCAUACUACAAUAUUAUAUAGUAUUUAAUUGUAAGUUUUUUUAAAAAUAUAGUUAUAUUAUUACAUUUGACUUUUAUAUUUUUGUUAAAUAUGUAAAAUUUUAUUCUUUACAAAAGUCAUUAAUUACAAUUUUAAUUUUUUUUUAAUAUUUUUAAAUUUGUAUAUCAAUCUAUAUGUUAUAAUAAAAAGUUAGUAUAUUUAAUACGUGAUCUACGUGAUUUCCAUUUUAUCUCAAUCUCUUUUAGACUAUAUUUGGUAUCCAAUUCAAUAUGUUUGACCGAAAUAAAGACGGUUAUUGUUUCCUAUAAUACAUUAAAAAUAAUAAUUGUGUCAUUAUGAUAAUGACUAUCAUCAUGAUAUAUCAUAAUCUGUUUGUAAGUUCCGCGCAAUAGUAAUUCCAACGGAUUGAUAUUACAAAGUACAUAUAUUCAAACGAUUUGAUAGUAUGCAAUAUCUCUAUAAAUCAUAAUGACUUGAUAUUAUGAAGGACAUGAUUAUAAUGUUAUUGAUGCAAUCCCUAAACUUAAGCAUGAAUUCCUUGAGAUUAAGAAAUCUCAUUAAAUUUUAGUAGAGUAAUAUUUUUUUGUCAAUCAUUUCAUAUGAAUCGUGUUCUAAACACAAAUAUAUAUUUUAGAUAUAAAACAAAUACAUGGCGAUUGGGUUUUAAUAUUACACUUAGAAAAUUGUAAUUGUUUUCUAAAACACAUGGUGAUUGUCAAUCAUGGCAUUAUGAUUGGAGAAUCUGUUAUGAAUUGUCUUAAAACUUAUAAGAAAAUUUAUUAGUUUCAUAAUUUCCUUUUUUUUUUAAUAUUUAAAAUGAAUUUCAACAACGGUGCAUGCAAAUAUUCGUUUCAAAAUAUUUUCUAAUUAUUGCAUGAUUGAAACAAAUAUUUCCUUAAUUCUGGAACUAAUUUAAUACGCGAUUAAAAAAUAAGUUACAUGAUUGAGAAAAAUAAGGUUCUGCAUGAUUAAUAUAUAUUUCUUAACAUUCAAUUAUGGCAUUUAUCCCCUUACUAUAAACUUUCCAAAAAUUGUAAGGACAUUGUCAAUUAGCAUUACUUGCGUAAUAAUGCAUGAUAUUCAUAAAAUUCUAAAUUAUGAAUGUUUUGAGCUAAAUAUGACACUAAUUCAGAAUAUAUAUAUAUAUAUAUAUAUAUAUAUAUAUAUAUAUGUGUGUGUGUUCUCAUUAAUAUUAUACGAUUUUGGUAAUGGAAAUUUUAAGUCGAAACCGAAUCAUAUAUUCUUUUUUUUUUCAUCGACACUGAUUGACUUUAAUUUAUUUUUGUUGACCAAUAUAUAUGUUUGUUUUCUAUAAUAUUCCAAUGAAUCCACUGUGAAUUUAAAUUACCAAAAUAAUUAUGGCAAGUUUUGAGAAUUAGUCUAAUUUGAAUCACGCAAAUAAAAAUGGCGUUUAGUAAUCAUUAUUUACCCUAUACAGACGCCAAUUAUAUAUAAAUACAAGGGCUUCUAGCUACAUUACCUCACCACCAUCUUCUUCUCAAUACAUUCUUAUCACAAACAUUCUUGCAAGCACAACACUCAUGGCCGGCUUUAACUCCGUUGCCGAUUUGAUUAAUUUUUUUUUUCAAUCUUGAAAGAGCUUAAGUGUUUGGCAUAUGGACCUGAAGUUCACAAAUUUUAUGAUUUCUGAAUUUGUACGAAUGCUAAUCCGCCGGUUUGUGUAUUAAGCUUAUGGAGAAUUGAAUGGGGUGAAGGUUUGUUUCAUUUAAUAUAAAAAUAACAACUUUGUUAUAUGUUAGUGUUGCGUGACUAAGAAAAUAUAUGUGUUACUUUCUUAGGGGACUUCACAUUUAUUACAAACACCGAAGGAUCUCAAAGGCUUUUCGAUGAUGACCUGCCAGAAAUUCAGGAUUUCAUAUUGAGGUGCUCAAUUUGUUUCCUUUUUUUUCACCUUAGCAGUUUGUCUUAUCAUAAUGCUAUUAUAACCAUUUAUAUAAAAACCUUGAGUUAUUUUUUAAUUCAAUUUUAUAUUUAUAUCAUUCCAGGAUUCCACUGGUGGCAUGAUUGCAAGUUAUAUUCGAAGCUCUCAUUUACGAUCGGAUGCAAUCCCAAAAAAAGUUUUAUAUUGCCAAUGUUUCAUUUUAUCUUUUACUUCAUAAUUUAUUUUUAUACGUUUUUGCUUGCUUUUUGAAGCUUAAUUUAUAUAGACAUACACAAGUUCGGCUAAACCCUUUAUCAUAUAAAAUGUAAUAUUUCUUUCUAUGAUUUUUACCUUUCAAAUACCUAUAUAUUUAAAGUGAUAAACUAUUUAAAUUUAUUCAUUCCGCGCAUGGCGCAGAUUAUCACCUAGUUAUCUUAUUAUUUUAUCGAUUUAUAUCAUAUUUUAUACCGGUCCAAGUUGGGACCGACGAAAUUUAUUAAUUUAUCGAGUAUUCAUUUGUAUCCUUCUUAAUUGAUAUCUAGCAGAUCCUUCUAUUAUAUAAGAGAAAUUGCAUUAAAUUUCUUUUCAAUCUUAUAUUUUAAUUAAUUAAUCAUCAGAUAUUAAAGAAAAUCUCAUCCUCAUAAAUUAAUUAGUGUUUUGUUAAAUUGUAUAUCCAUUUUGCCAAUCUAACAAAACCGACACAUUUAAAGUUUAUUAUCUGUGUUCUUUAAUUAGAAAGCUUUUAUCUUUUAUCUACAAUCUUAGUUGUUUAUUUUCUAACCUUUUAAAAUUAUUUUAAAACAGACGUGUCAUAAUUUGAUUCUAAUAACUAAAUUAUAUAUAUGGUCUCUUAAUGUAAUAUAUAUUGACAAAUCUAAAAGUUAAUGAAAAGUAAAAUUUAAAACCCAAAAAUCACAGUAACAUAAUUGCUCUUAUAUUUUGUUUUUAAAACAUAAUUGCUAUCAAAACUAAUGUAAUCUCUUCUAGAGAUUUAGUUUCCUUCUAGGCUUAAAUCAUAAGACAUAUCAAUGUAUGUUUUCUAAUAUAAAUACUCACAUGAGUUUAAUAAUGAUCAUCAGUUAACAACAACCGACCCUAGACUCUUUUCAGGACAAUAACACCAAAACCCAAAACGAAAUCUCAACACCAUUCACGGUAUGGAACUACCCCAUGGCUUAAUUAGAGAUAUCCUCGAGAAACUACCGGUGAAAUCUCUGUUAAGAUUCAAAUCCGUGUCAACGCAAUGGAAAUCUACGAUUGAAUCUGCAUAUUUUAAGAAAAAACAGUUGUUAUAUAGUCAACUACAAGAUCCAGAUAUCCUUAUCACCAAUCGCUUUGAAGGUGAAGAUAAAGAACAUGUAACAAGGAUGUUCACGAUAGGUUCGUCGGAUUUGAUCAAACUGCCUAAUGUUUGCCCUGUGCCUAUGCCAAUUCCCUUGGAGAACAAAAAAUCAUCGUUUUGUUAUACCUAUUCCGUUUGUGGUUGUGACGGUAUGAUAUGCUAUUACAAUUACUUCACUUGUAUAUAUCUAGUCAAUCCUAAUACUAGAUGGUUACGAAGUGUUCCUCAAGCGGGGCAUCAAGAAGCUGCUCUCAAGGUGAUGAAUAAAAUACAUGGAACCUGGACGGAAGAUAACGAUGGCAUUUUAUGUAAUCUAGGAUUUGGCAAAGACAAGUUCACAGGCAGAUACAAAUUGGUUUGGUUAUAUAAUUCAUUUGAGUUUACUCUAAGUAACACUACAGUUUGUGAAGUUUAUGAUUUUAAUAACACCAACACUUGGAGGUAUGUGACUGCUUCUCCUGUCCGUAUUUUUGAUGAACAAGCUCCAGUACACUUAGAUGGAUCACUUUACUGGUUCACUGAUGAGUAUAUCACAGACACAAAAGUAUUAUCUUUCGAUAUCCAUACAGAAAAAUUUCACAUGAUCGCAGAAGCUCCAUUUUUCGAAGUAGAUGAGAAGGAAAUCAUCAUGUGCACUCUGAAUAACCGUCUAUGCGUCUCGCAGAAGGAGUGGCCAAAACAAGAGAUUUGGUCACUAAAUAAUUCAGAUAUGACUUGGGAGAAAAUAUAUUCGUUAGAUCUACAAACUGAUUAUGAUUGGUUUACGGAUUAUCUGCCACCACCAUGCACUUAUUCGCCAGAUGUUGUUCCAUGUGCCAUUCCUGUCGCGGUUUUGAAGAACAAGAAGAAAACACUAGUGCUUUAUUAUCCUCGUGCGAAGAAUCCGAAUCUUUUAAUGUACGAUCCUGAAUCAAGAUCAUAUGAUUUAUGUUUCGUACGUGAUUACAUAGUACAUUCUUGCGAGAGUUCAUUUUCUUGUUUCCCAAGUUUGAUGUCAAUUGUAUAAAAAAUAAUAAUUAAUUUUGAGAUAUAUUAUAGUUUAGUAUCCUAGUUGUUGUUUAAUAAUAUAUCUUUAACUUAUUUGCCUUGCGAAAGCCAAAUAAAAGGGUUACUCGCAAUUGUAGUUUAUGUUACAUGCAUGGUUUGAUUUGACAAAUCAUGUUCACCAAGCAUGUUAUUUAUCUUGUCUAAAGUUUCUCCACUCUAUCUUGAAGUGAAAGUAUCACGGUUUUGGUUCCUUUUUGUGAUGACUACAACUCUGCUUGUCUGGAACCUUCAAACUCAUCGUGCCAAAGUAAUGGCUUUUCUUUGACCUUGGUUGUAUAAUCUCUCGGUAACUAUAGAGUACCAUGUCCCUCUAUCUUCCUUCAUCACUGUCCUACAACCGUGUCAGCAGACCAUGCAUCUUCCUCAAGACAUGGCCUUUAUGAUAACACCUCUAACCUUUCUCUUCCUCAAAAUAUCAUCAAUGUUUAUGCUGAACAAAUUUAAGAUAGAGAAAUGAAAAGGAAAACUCAAACUAAAUUACAAGCACAUCAUUACUAAUGUGAGAUGAGAAAAAUCAGGUCUCCACAUAAGAAAAUGCGUGUGAGGGAAAGAAAAAAAAGAAGAUGGUUUUUGGGCCAUGGCACAUGGCAGCCUGGCCUGUAGCAACACAUAUAAGCUUUAGUUGAUUAUGACACUGGAGACCUUUGUGUUUAGAAUCUCAGUUGCUUUAUACCUCACGACAGUGGUAGUUUGGGCCAGGAAGCUGAGUUGAAUAGAAUGUUAUAACACGGAGAGAACUGUAAACAGAAACAUCGAUAAAGUGAAAAAUUGAUAAGACUCAGCAAGCUUGAACCAUAGUAACUAGUAAGGCAGGGGAAUUACAAUUAAGAAUGCUACAACUCUGCACCAAAUCAAGACGGUGUAUAUUAUUUUGCUUUUCAGGAUGAAUGGAUGGAAAGUCCACUGCAAUAAAUGCCCAAAGAGUAUCCAUAUCGGAAUAUAACCAUGUAAUGGCUGCUAACUCUGACAAAGUUCUGAAGAAACUAUGUGACUCACCAGGAAAAAGGAAACAAAUACACUAGUGAACACAGUCUCACUUAUGUAGCUUCUCUCUUGACCAAGCUCCUAUACAAUCGGGGAACAAAGGCAGUCUGAGCAUAUAUAUAUAGCUGAAAGGUCUGAGACAAACCGGAAGAAGAAAGAAGCCAAGAUCUUGGAGAGUGGGUCCUGCGCGAUGAAUAGAAUGAACUCCUCUAGCAGCUAAUUAAACCAUGAAUGUACUGCACAACAUAACAAAAUGCAAUUCACAAAGCACAAACUCAUAAGUAAAAUCCCAGAGACGAAAAAGCUACAUUAACCACAAACUAACACACAAAAGCCACCUCUCUUUGGUUAAGAAAAAACAAUCCUACUAACAGUGUUUCUGCUGAAAAGAAAAAGAAAAAAAAAAGAGUAAAGGUUCUCUCAAAAGUUACCAUGAUCAGACAUUCACAAAGUGUCAAAACAACACAACCAUUGAUCAGACUUCAACAAAAAGAAACAGGAGUCAUCAUUAAGUAAAGCUCACUGUGAAGAAACACAUCUCGGAAAGUCAGGAUCAACGUAAUAAACAUUUUACAAUUUUCACAAACCAACAGUCAGCAGGAUCAACGAGAUCAUAAGCCUGUUACAUUUGCUCUCACCUAUGAUCCACGAUUCGUUUUUCUUCUUUAGAGGUUGAAUUGAGUAAAGAUUCGGACAGAACAUUUCAGUUUAUCAAUCUGCAAAAUAAAGAAUGAAAAUUCUGACCCACGUCGAAACCAACAUUUAAAUAGCUAGGAAUUAGGUAUGUGAGGUCGAACAUUAGUGACAUCAAGGCAAUAUGUAACAGAGUUCAAAUGUUGCCAAAUAAAUCUUUGUAUUCCAAUAUUUUUGAAAAACAAGCUAAUAAUCAGUCUUUACGGUAAGAAAACUAUGUAUGGGACAGUUACAAACAAACAAACCAACAAAAGCGGAAAAAGUUUCGAGUUUUUUACCUUCUCACUGUGGCGUUGAAGGGAAUCACCAUUUCUUAAUGAUUUCUUCUUCAGUAAGAGUGCUUCUAGCUUCGAACAACCCAAGUUUUUGGCACAUCUCACAGGGAUUGAUUGAUAAAUCAGAAAUGUAUACAAAAAUCAUGAAGAUACUUGCAAUAAAGAUUUCUUAGUGUGUGAAAAAAAAAAAAAAACUACAAUAUUAAGACUUAAUAAGCACGGUUCUAUAUAUACAAAUAAAUAACAGCAACAAUAGCUGGAAACCCACUAAGCAACAGACAUAAAAAAAUAACAAACAAAGUGGUUUCAAGUUUCUCUCGGGUCCGCUUUUCGAGGAGCCGUUUCAAGCAAGAAGCUCCGGCGGCAUCACCGCCAUUCCGCGUCCGCUCCGUGUCGUCGUCCUGCAUUGUGAAGAUGUAUAUUCUGUAUCAGUUCGUGAAGUACUACAUGAGGUUUCGGGUCUCUUCUUCACUGUAUCUAUCCUCAAGCCUCCAUCAUGUCUUGCGUUGGUCUCUCCACCCCUUCGUAUAGCUGAGCUCCGCUGGCCAGAUCUAUUGUCGCACACACCGCCACCCUUACCUCCUCUGGAACAAGCUCCUAGACGAGAGGUCGUCCCACUGCUACGCCGUCUCGAGUCUCCUAUGUCGAGCUCACAGGCGAACUUGUUUCAUCUCUCUCCGAGCAAGAUCCCGACAUCCUAACACAUUUCCUGGCCCAGAAGGUUUUUUAUGUGGUCUCCUACCACGACCCCAUCCACCACUCCAUUCGACAAAGUUCUUGUGCCUAUCAGUAUCAUAUACAAUUAUCGAAUGGAAGAUGGCAACAAUAUCAACAGCUGUACCUUAUUUACUCAAUGAUGCUCAUGUGGCUGAACUGAGUUCUGAGUUCUGAGUUCUGAGUUCGAAGACCGGCAGCUCGACAAACUUUCAUGGCUCCAUCAGGGUAAUGCUGGAACUAGAAGCUUUUGUCUUAACUCAAUGUUAGCUGCUGCCUUAGAAGUCCUCCUCAAGCUCUACUCUAAUUUCAUUGUCGUGGAUGUGGCCAUAUUCCCACUAUUGGAUUCAACCUAGUCCAUUUGUUCAAGCCACUGUCAUAUGUACUCAUCUUCUUCGAAUAGCUUUGUUCACAGUGUGCUCUUCUGCGUGCUAUUCAGCGUCAAAUACAAGUCAGUUAGGACUUUGGUCUCUUCUUAUUGCUGUAUCAACGUCGAUUUCGACGUUCUUUAGGUGAAACUUCUCCAUAGGUUUCAUUCAUCUUGCUGAGCUUGACUCGCCUCUUAUAGGCUUUACCUUUCUAUGUUUCGUAAUUUUUUUUUUCUACUUCGAGCAUGUCUCCCGUUAAACUUUCAUGUUUUUUGAACUUUUAAUAUAACAAAAAAAAGAUAUGGAAACCCAGACCAUAACUAAUGAGCUUGGUCUUCAGUAUCUAUUCUGAGACAUGCACAAAUGAGAAUUGAAACGAGGGAAAGAAAAAUUUUGAAGACUUGGAGGCUGUUAAAACUCCACGCAAAGCUUCAGCCAGGAAAAUUCAGAGAGUGUAUAAAAGAUUCUGAUCCAAUAAUACCUUGUAAGAUCAGCACUGGUUUUAAGCCCUCCAGUUGCACCUUGGACAUAUUGCAGAAGUUCCUUGCGCUUUGCCUAGAAAAAAAAAAAAAAAAAAAAAAGAAGAAGAAGAUAAAGAUGUUGAAGUUAGCUUGAAGAAACCUUAAGCAACAAGUUAUUUGAUUCCUAGUUGGAUUAUGAAUUGGUUUUCGGAUAAUGAUCAUAAUAUGUUUUAUGGUUUUUGAUUGCCUUAUAAAUAAUAAAAUAAGCUUUAGUCAUUAGACAAAAAGCGUGUGAGUUGUUGUGUGAUUGAGAGAACUUGAUUAAGUUUACUUGAUUAAUUGAAUAAGAGAAGGACUUCUUAUUAAUCUUGUGUUUCAAUAAAAAGAGGCAUUACGAAGUGAAAGAUCUCUAGUGGCCUUAUUCAUCUUGCGAGCUAGCAACAGAGUCUACGCAACAAAACACCUAUAUUUCUAAAUCCAGCACAUCAUUACAAGAACUUCAUCCUUGUAUUUCGAAAACACCGCUGCUAAGUCCUGCACGUUUUGAAUCACUGCUUCGUGGACUUCCUUCUCUCCAGACAAAGAGAGCUGAAAUGCAAGUUUUCGUAUACUAGUGUAGUAGAAUGACUGAAGUACAGCUUAUCAGUGGGAGAUAAAGCAUCGCCCAAACGGCUCCAGAAGCAGCUGGAGUUCUUCCUCAUUUGGUGACAGAGAAGACUUAAAACUCAGUAAAUAAACAUUAGAAAGUUCAAUCAAUAUCCGCUAUUGCAGUACUUUAGAAUCAAACGGUGAAUCUAAUAAUCUUAAAUUUGCACUGAAGUUUUAUUUCUUCUUAAAGUAGGGUCCGGAACAUGUUAAAUUAUUCUCUUUUGGAGAGCAGAUCACGUGUUGCCUAUGUGAGUUUCAACCACUUAGUACAACAACAAAAAGGGAAGUGAUAUGGUAUUAUAUAGUAUUUUCUUACAUCAUAUUUAUGAGCAGGAAACUAGUGAGUAUGUUCUUCCAUAGUUCUUAAUUGCUGCUGUUGCUGUUGCUGAGACACUGAUCCAAGUACUGUUCUCCAAGAACCAAAGUCACCUCUUCAUCAGGACAAGGGAGGUUCGGCAAAGGAACAAGCUCAAUCCCAUGAGCACACACAAAGCCUCUCUAGUGCUUCCUCUGCAUCCUGUGAGGCCCCCCACAAACCCAAACGGAAACAAUCUAUCACCUCGCCUUUGAAUGCCCGUUCAUGUAACUCCUCAUCGGCUGCAUCUUCCCAAGAGCAUUCUCAGGCCUCUCUUUGAACACCCACAUGUACAUGUUCUCCAUAUCGUGCUGAACAAGAAACACAUCAAGCUUCAGAUCAGACUCGUCGUAUAACAUAAAGUUCUCUACUGUAACCAUAAAUUAAAGGAGUCUCCUUUGUCUCCGGUGAGAUGAAGCAACUCCUAACAAUGGAAUCGUAUAAUAUACAGUUCUCUACUUUACCACAUAACUUCUCUACAAGCAACCCCACAAGACCGGAACUUGAAGAAGGAUAUGGAAUCUGAUUAAGCCUUUUAAGGCACACAGGGAGAGAAGAAAAAGUAAACGCCUUUGUUUAACUAAGCAGAGGUGAUCACUGCUCUUUGCCAACACACCGACAACAGAUCUGAGUUCUUUCUUCCUCUAGAGAGAGGGAGAGAUACGGUCCGGAGUAAACGUUUGCCUUGGAUGCAACCGUGGAAAGUUUCUGCCGUUACGUAACAGUGACGAUUAAUCAAUAUUAUUAAAACAGGAUUAUUGCUAACUUUUGCCCUUAUAACUGCGUGGCAUAUUACUUAUUCUGCCAUUGGUUUUUCAAAGAGUUAAAAUUUUCAUUAAUGGCAUAAUCAUAAUUUGCUUAAUGGACUAACAUAUUAAUCUAACCACAAAAAAUUGAAACCUACUUUAAUAACCGUUUGAUGCGUAUAUGUUUAAUGUAUCCUCCUUUAUGAACUCAUUUAUAACCGUUUGCUAUCAAUUUAUUUUCUUAUCAAAGAGUUUUUUUUUAAUAAAGAAUUGCUUGACAGGUUUUACACGAUUCUAAUAAUAAUAGCAUUAAUAGUUAAUAUUAAAACUUAUAAAGCGGGUGUAUAUCCUAUACUACUCUACUCAAAUGGUAUAUUACAUAGUAUAUGGUUUAAAUAUGUUUACAUUAUUUUUUUUCAAAAAAAUAAUUAUUUACAUUACAUGCAACAGAUCGUUCCAAAUUAAACUUUGUAUAUCUUAUAUUAUUUUAUUCAAAUAGUAUACUACAUAGUAAAUGAUUUAAAUAUGUUUACAUUACAUGCAACAAUAUAGUACCAUUCGAUUUUACCAUAUUGAACAACCCUAAUAGAAACUAUGUCAUUAUAAUAUAGAUUGUUAUUAAUUAAUUUAAUUAUCCUGGAUUCGACCAAAUGUUACAUGAUUACAUAGCCUUUCCUUUAACAGACCAAAUUCAUAGAACUAGUCUACUUAUCCAGCGUGACAAAAAAAAAAUUAAGAAGUCUGUAUCAUAUGACUUAAACGUUCCAACCACUAACUGCAUGCUUUCUAUUUGUGGAGGCUUCACACUCGAUCCUUUCUUUUCUUUUUUGUUUUUGGAAACCUGAUAUCCUUUUUAGCAAAAUCUUGUUCUACCUACAUGUCAAGAAUACAUAUACAAAAUUUCAUAACUAAUUAAUGAGAUUGUUAAACCAGCCUAAAUUUUACCCAAUUAAUCAUUCACUUUAACAUUUUGUUGCAUGUUUUCACACGUUACAUGGCUAUGCCUAUGCAUGGCAUGUCAUGCAGAUCCAGAUUCCGAUCUCCCGUGCGUGUUCGACUCCACCGAGAGUAGCUACACCCGUCCGGUCAAUUUCAAACCAACUUUUCACAAGAACUUUAAAAAUAGAAAUAUGCACAUAAACAUUCAUCAUCGAAAGACAAUGUUAUUAUAUAUCAUGUAUCACGAAGGAUAGUACCAUACAUUGGUCACAUAUAUAUCUAUAGCAUUAUUGCAACUUCACAAGUAAGACGACGCCCAUUAAUUAAACCGGACCCGGAGCCGGAGCAGGAGCCGGGAGAUUCUGCAAAAUCUCCGUCAUCCUCACCUCAUCCACGACGUUCACCAUCGUUGUAUUAGCUCCCGCUGCGAUCAUCUCGAGCUCAUUCACCUCCUCUCCCGUCGUGAUUCCGACGAUAUAAACCGUCGGGUUUAUAUCGCGGAAAACCUGCGUCAAGUGCACGUCAUCCACCACCACGACUUCUCUAAGCAGUUCUUCGUUCUCUCUCACCGUCUCCUCCGCUAUGUCGAGCUGAACGAAGGUGGGCGAUCCUCCGGCAUUAUCUACCGCAAACAAAUUGACGAGUUUCAGCACCCGCACUGACUCCACGAUCAACACUAACGGGCGGCGGCGCUCCAUUUUGUAUAGGUUUAGUUUGUGUGUAUGUAAGUGUUAAUUAAGUGCUCGUGUCUCGUCCUUUUUAUAGGCAGUAGUUCUUAUAGUGGUUGUGCAUGAAUCGAUUUCACCUACUGGCAGUGGAACUUUUUGGACCGGAGUCAAAUUUUUUAACAUAAUUACUAAAUUAUGUGAAAACUAUAUUAAACGACCUUCCAAACUUUUUUUAUUACAGUUUCAUUAACUACAUUUUUAAAUUUUGUUUCGAUAAAAAAAAAUAAUUUUUUUAUUCCAACCAAUUACCAUAUUAAUCAAACUGAGAAUGAUAAAACAGAUUUGAUGUAUUUUUUUAUGAGUCUUGCUUUAAAAUUAUGACCAUGAGGUUGACAAAGUUCUCAAGUUAAAUAUUUUUGUUUUACCUUGUCUCUUUCAUUGUAGUGAUAUCACAUUUUCUUUUCACCAAGACCAUCUAGAUAAAUUGAUAAUUAUUUAUCUAAUUAAUAAAAAAAUAGCUCAUUUCUCAAUAUGAAACUAGCUGUUAAAAAUAUUCAGAAUAUAAACAUAAAUCUUAAAUACUUUUAUUGAAUUUGAAUCAGUGAAUCAUAAUCAUCUUUAGUUUGAUAAAUAAAUAAUCAAAACACAAAAGUAUAAAAUAAAGAAGAAUCCGGAACCGACCGGAUCAGCCGAUAAGUUUAUGAAAAAAAAUAUAAAAUAAAGAAGAACCCAACUUAAAAUUAUUCCAAAACAGGUUUGUCGAAGAAGAGGAGCUUGUUUAUUAAUUUGUUUUUAAUGUUUCUGAUAUAAAUUACUAUACUAUUUGGGCCUAAAAUAAUGACGAAAGUGAUUGUUGCAAUCGAGAUUAUAAAACAUGUUAAUUCCAUAUUUAGAUGAAUUUUAUUAGAGAAAAACUAACAUUUUUCUAUAGCAUUCAUCUAUUUUAAAAGGUAUUAGAACUUGACCCGCCCGACCGGACGGGUAUUUGUUUUAUGUUUUAGAUUUUUGUUUAUACUAAAUUGUGUAUUAGUAGUAUUUAAACAUAAAUUUAGAUUGAAAAUUAAUAUUUGCAGGUUAUAAUUAAAAUUAAAAAUUAAUAAAUAUUCUGAUAUAAAUUUUAAAUCUCCUAUUUUUUCUAAUUCCAAAAUAUUAGCAUCCCUUAAAAAACAAAUAAAAUAAAAUUACAAAUACAUAUAAUAUAUAAACAUAUUUAGAAUUAAUUUCUAUUAAAAUAAAUUUGUUAAGGAAAUAUAAUCUUGAGUUGUCGUUGUUUAUUUCUGUAGCUUGUAAUGAAUUGCUCUUAUUUAUAGAUAGGCCAAAAACAUUGAUUAUUAAGAUGUCUAUCAAGUAUACCUAGAUUUUUUGAACUAAAGGAUAAAUUUUGGAAAAAAGUUGAGAUUUAGGAAAGAUAAUAAGUUAGAUAUUAUGUGAUUUUGGAAGAUCGAUCUUAAAGUUAGUAUAUGUGUGGUUUCUGGUGUGAUAUUGAGUAAUGGCUGUGAUCUUAGGUUGGCGAAAACGGUUUAUUUUCAAAAUCUAUGUAUAUUUUAGCAGAUACUCUAAAUAUACCAUAUUCGAAAGACAUUUAUAAAUUUUAUACCAAAAUUAUUUGGUAUGGCCGAUUCAGUUUAUUUUAUCCAAUCCCAGUUUAGUUUUUUAUCCAAUCCCGGUUUAGUUUAAUAAUUGGAAAUUUUAAAUUGUAUAGUGUACGUAUACCAUUCGUAGGUCGAGAGAUAAAGUAGAAGUGGGUCAUUCUGUAGGGAAGAAGAAACAAACCAAUACAAAUUCAGGUUCGGUGCAAGGUGCAACAGAAUGUUUUUAGAAUCUUACUACAAUUUAAUAAUAUGUUUAUCAUGGAUUGAAUCGGUUUCAAAACUAUGUCCUUAGAGUAUGAAUUAAAUUAAAUUAGAAUUAUCAAUAAUGGAGUGUACCGGUUUUAAACGUGAUACACAUAUGAAAUACAAAAUGGAAAUAUAUCACAUAAUACGGUCGGUUUAGUUACAAGUUAUUUUAUGAUAAAUAACGUCAAUUUGUUUACGGUGAUUUAGGAAAAAAUUAAAAGGAUAGAUUUUUAAAGCCAGUGGCAAUCAAAUGUAAUUAUUUGGCAAAAAUUAGGGGUAAAUACUAAUUGUACUUUAAUUUUAAUAGUUUAGAUUUUCUAUAUAUAGCAUUUAUAUGAAAUAUCAUUUCUCUUAAUAUAUAAAUGCUAUAUAAAAUUUUCUUUUUUGUCAUCAAUUUUUAAAUUCUCUAAUUUUGAAUAUCCCACUAUAUAAAAACAACUAAAUUGAAGCAAUUUUAGACAAACCACAUCAGCAUAAAUAUUCAGAGCCAAUUAAACUGCCAUGUCACUGAUAGAAUCUCUUUUUUAUUGUCUUCUUUUGCUUCCUCUUCCUUUCGAUGAAUAAAUCUUCACCGGUUACAAAUUAUUUACUGCUUCUUCAAUUUACUAACGCCAUCAGAUCGACACCUCUUUACCUUUCCUUACCCUCCCCAUCCUCGCUAUAUACUAGUGGCUAGAUUCAAGUCAGAUAUAAUCCUCACAACCAAUCCAGACACAAUCACCAACCCACCAGGCAAAGCAAAAGACCAACCCCAUCUGGAAUCAAGCACGGAAGAAGCAACAAUGGAACCAACAAUCUUCCCAACAUAUGUAUGAGAGUUCCAAACACCCAUAAUCAACCCACGCUUCUCCUUCCCACACCAGUUCGCAACCACAGAGACAACACAAGGCCACCCGAUAGAUUGAAACAACCCACAAACGAUCUGAAUAGUCAUGUAAAACCCGAGAAGAUGCACGUUCAUCCAAUACCCUAACCCGAAGACAACGGUGAGGAUCCCACUUCCCAUCAUCCCAAACACGAGAAACAGCCUCAGAUCGAUCAUAUCUCCUAAAUGCCCUGCGAAAUACAUACUGAGAGCGUAGGAAGAUAGGAACGCUAGAUCGAGCUCGCCGAGUCUCUGCAUUCCUUCGGUUCCUUUGAACGGAGCCCAUCUGUUGUCGAUCGGAGAGUUUGAUUGUUCGUUGACGGAAUGUCCGAGGACGCUCUUGACGAUGCUCGGAGGUUUGCGAGAAGCGUGGAACGAAGCGUAGGCUAGGAAGGUGAUGAUGAGGACGAGGAUUUGGUGGAAUGUGAAGGUUUUGUUUAAGCUUGGGAAGAGAGAAAACGCUGGAGGUAAGCCGCCGCCGCCGAUCUUGGAUUGCAUCUUGAAUCAAUGGUGGAGCAUUUCUUGAUUCGGAAUAAAAAAAAAAGAGUUGAUCUUUGAGAUUGUUUUUGCUUUAUUUUCUCACGGUAGGUAAUGGGUUGCUACCAGAUUUCUUCAAGGCGAAGGACUCAGGGAGAUUUUUUCAACUUAUUAUAAAUAAAUCAUUUUGGUCAAAGGGUUGCGUAAAGUUGAAAUCAUUUUGGCUAGAAAAAACACGAUAAAAUAAUUUGUGAUAUGGUCCACCAAACUCCAAAGCUAUUGUAUGCCAAAAAUAUUAAAAAAGUAGAAAAGAAGUGAUGUACUACGUUGAAAAUCUUAUUUUAUUGCAAGUUAAGAAUAAUAAUAUUGAUAACUUUGUUACGGAGCACCGACAAACAUCGCUUAUUAGCAAAAAGAUUUUGCAACAAUAAAUUUUCUCUUUUUUUGAUAAAAAUAUAAAAUUAAAAUAAUUUUAUUUGUUACACUGCUUGGCCUAUAAAAGCAGUCAGAAUUUUUCUAAAGAUAUAUUUACACACAUUUUGGUGAAUACCAUAAUCGUUAUUUAAGAGGUGUAUAAUUUUGAAUUUGUAACAAAAAUAAAAAGCUACUUUUAUAUAAAAAAUAAAAGACUACAUUAUAUUUACUUUUUUCGUACAUGUACUUCGAAUUUGCAAGAUUAUUUAACCUAUCUACACCAACAAAACCUUUUGAUAAAUAAUGCAAUGUCGAUUUCGGUUAAGGCUAACUCAUAUAAAAGAUAAUAAUGUCUAGAUUCCCAUAUAUUUCAUAUCUAUAUGUGAAAUAUCAUUUUAUGUUCAUCAUCAUGUUCAUCAUCAGUGACAUCAUUAAAGCAUACAAAAGUACUGAAUUAAAAAAAACAUAUAUAUCUCUUGGUUUGGUUUUGUUUGAUCCAUGAAAGAAUAAAACAGUUAAAAUAUUAUUUGAGGCAUUGGGAAGAAACAACAAAAGAUGAGGUUGAAUCCAUCUAAGCCUCUUCGAAAAUCUUUUGACCUUUUUUCGAUACCAAAAUAAUCGAGAUUAUUGCGUACAGAUCAAGUCUAUAUUUUUAUUAUAUGUAGUCUAGCCAAACGAUAUAUCUCACAGCCUCACAUAAUUGAUUUUAUCAUAGGUGUGUGAUAAAUGAUUCUUUGUGAUUAUGUCUCUUUGUUUGUUACUUACCAUUCUCUGUGUUUUUUUCAUUCAUAUUUUUUUAUCUCAAUUAUCCUUUUAAUUUUUUGUUUUAUCAUCAUAUUAUAUAUUUGCUUUUAUUUAAAGUACUACAUAAAUAUUGAAGAAAAUAUUUUGAAUACAUUAUUCAUUACCAUUUUCAUAAGAAGAAUUCAAAAAUUAAAAAGAUGGCCUACAUAAAAGUUUACUAAAAUUUAUGCAAAAAACUAUUCCAAAUUAAUUUAUUUCUGUAAUAUAUAUAGUUAAAUUAAUCACAAAAUAAAAAUACUAAAAUAUAUAUUUCUAAAACAAAUUUAAACAUAUCAUGUUACAAAGUAAUUAAAAUAAAAUUUUAAUCGUAAAGAUGUAAUCCGCGCGUAGCCUUGCAUGAUUUAGUUGAAAACCCUAAUUGGGAAUGGUGUGAGUGUUGAUCUUAUUUCUGCUUUUUGUUAAUUUCACAUUAAAGAAAUAUGUAUUUCUGACUUUAGUCGUCUGAAAAAGAAACUGGAAAACAAAAACAACUUAAGUUAGCGAGAAGCACUUUCCAUUAUUAUCUCUCUUCCCCAACUCACAAUAAUAAUACCAUAGACGCCGGAGCCGUCGUCCCGAUGUCAUCUGCUACAACUCCCUCCACCACUUUCCCCGGCACAACCAUCACUUCCAACUCCACAUUCAUCAUCAUCGAUCCCCCUCCACCGUUCCCAGCACCUCCUCGGAGCAUCGACUUCACUCCUAUCAAACUAAUCUUCGCCGUUCCCGCCUUAGUUUACUCCUAUCAAACUAAUCAUUCAGAGGAGAUCGGUAACGAAUGCACCUUGUGUAAGUCGGUGCUC
RNAcentral lists this long non-coding RNA (18908 nucleotides) under Brassica rapa (field mustard). Its description in RNAcentral is "long non-coding RNA (BRAP_LNC003094)". Lineage: Eukaryota; Viridiplantae; Streptophyta; Magnoliopsida; Brassicales; Brassicaceae. The record is from RNAcentral.